GUCCAGAUAUUCCUGGGGAGAACAGUGGACCCUCACCUCCUGCUCCCUCAUGCCCUACUUGUCGGCAGGGUCUGCAUCACCCAGCUGGUCUCGAGGGAGAGAGGAUCUGUGGCCACAGUUUUCCAAAACCAUCCAAAUGGGGACCCAGAAAGAAGAGAGUUCAGAGGCCCAUCAACCCUCUGAGGAAAUCCUGGAAAACAUUGUGAUGAAAAGGCAGUAG
This 220-nucleotide long non-coding RNA is filed under the name Bos indicus x Bos taurus (hybrid cattle). RNAcentral describes it as "lncRNA (ENSBIXG00005024357.1)". Lineage: Eukaryota; Metazoa; Chordata; Mammalia; Artiodactyla; Bovidae. The record is from RNAcentral.